UACGUAGGGGCAAGCGUUGUCCGGAAUUAUUGGGCGUAAAGCGCGCGCAGGCGGUCUCUUAAGUCUGAUGUGAAAUCUUGCGGCUCAACCGCAAGCGGUCAUUGGAAACUGGGAGACUUGAGUACAGAAGAGGAGAGUGGAAUUCCAUGUGUAGCGGUGAAAUGCGUAGAUAUAUGGAGGAACACCAGUGGCGAAGGCAGCUUACUAAGCUACAACUGACACUGAAGCACGAAAGCGUGGGGAUCAAACAGG
Molecule: ribosomal RNA, 252 nt
Filed under: uncultured bacterium
Lineage: Bacteria
Description: partial 16S ribosomal RNA
Rfam family: Bacterial small subunit ribosomal RNA
Source: RNAcentral